Myzus persicae (green peach aphid) is the source of this 321-nucleotide long non-coding RNA. RefSeq lists it as uncharacterized. Lineage: Eukaryota; Metazoa; Arthropoda; Insecta; Hemiptera; Aphididae. The record is from RefSeq and is a predicted model, not a curated record. The transcript has 2 exons.
AUGGCCCAGUCGGUGUCUUCUUAAUUAAAAACAUUUCAUUUGAAUUCAAAAUACAAAACAUACUACACCAAUGUGGUUUGAAUAGAACCAAAUGUCAAUGUUCAAUGUUUAUCUCAUAAACAUAUGAAAAAAUCAUCCACUUUAUGAAAAGAAAUUAAGUAAUUUAAUACAAUGUCAACUCACAGUUAAACAGCUACAAUAAAGUUACAUGAAGUCCUAAGAAGCAGCAAAGUAUUGUUAAUUAUUGCCUAAGGUCCGGCCAAACUACAGACUGACAUUGUUGAUUGACAAUUUACUCAUAUCCAGAUUCAAUCGUUUUUU